UCCCUGGUGGCUCAGAUGGUAAAGCAUCUGCCUGCAAUGCAGGAGACCUGGGUUCAAUUUCUGGGUUGGGAA
This 72-nucleotide transfer RNA is filed under the name Bos taurus (domestic cattle). It matches the Rfam family "tRNA". From Rfam's summary of the family: Transfer RNA (tRNA) molecules are approximately 80 nucleotides in length. Their secondary structure includes four short double-helical elements and three loops (D, anti-codon, and T loops). Further hydrogen bonds mediate the characteristic L-shaped molecular structure. tRNAs have two regions of fundamental functional importance: the anti-codon, which is responsible for specific mRNA codon recognition, and the 3' end, to which the tRNAs corresponding amino acid is attached (by aminoacyl-tRNA synthetases). tRNAs cope with the degeneracy of the genetic code in two manners: having more than one tRNA (with a specific anti-codon) for a particular amino acid; and 'wobble' base-pairing, i.e. permitting non-standard base-pairing at the 3rd anti-codon position. The record is from Rfam by way of RNAcentral. Lineage: Eukaryota; Metazoa; Chordata; Mammalia; Artiodactyla; Bovidae. RNAcentral also lists the same sequence under 3 other names.